Molecule: ribosomal RNA, 325 nt
Filed under: Clostridioides difficile
Lineage: Bacteria; Bacillati; Bacillota; Clostridia; Peptostreptococcales; Peptostreptococcaceae
Description: bacterial LSU rRNA
Rfam family: Bacterial large subunit ribosomal RNA
Source: RNAcentral
GCUGGGUUCAGAACGUCGUGAGACAGUUCGGUCCCUAUCCGUCGCAGGCGUAGGAAAUUUGAGAAGACCUGUCCUUAGUACGAGAGGACCGGGAUGGACGUACCUCUGGUGUACCAGUUGUUCUGCCAAGGGCAUGGCUGGGUAGCUAUGUACGGAAUGGAUAAGCGCUGAAAGCAUCUAAGCGCGAAGCCAACUUCAAGAUAAGAUUUCCCACCGCAAGGGUAAGACCCCAGAAAGACUAACUGGUUGAUAGGUCGAAGGUGUAAGUGCAGCAAUGUAUUUAGCUUAUCGAUACUAAUAGGUCGAGGACUUGACCACUAUUAUU